GACGAACGCUGGCGGCGUGCUUAACACAUGCAAGUCGAACGAAGAGCGAUGGAAGCUUGCUUCUAUCAAUCUUAGUGGCGAACGGGUGAGUAACGCGUAAUCAACCUGCCCUUCAGAGGGGGACAACAGUUGGAAACGACUGCUAAUACCGCAUACGAUCUAAUCUCGGCAUCGAGGAUAGAUGAAAGGUGGCCUCUACAUGUAAGCUAUCACUGAAGGAGGGGAUUGCGUCUGAUUAGCUAGUUGGAGGGGUAACGGCCCACCAAGGCGAUGAUCAGUAGCCGGUCUGAGAGGAUGAACGGCCACAUUGGGACUGAGACACGGCCCAGACUCCUACGGGAGGCAGCAGUGGGGAAUCUUCCGCAAUGGACGAAAGUCUGACGAAGCAACGCCGCGUGAGGGAUGACGGCCUUCGGGUUGUAAAGCUCUGUUAAUCGGGACGAAAGGCCUUCUUGCGAAUAGUGAGAAGGAUUGACGGUACCGGAAUAGAAAGCCACGGCUAACUACGUG
Molecule: ribosomal RNA, 510 nt
Filed under: uncultured bacterium
Lineage: Bacteria
Description: partial 16S ribosomal RNA
Rfam family: Bacterial small subunit ribosomal RNA
Source: RNAcentral